GGAUUAGAUACCCUGGUAGUCCACGCCGUAAACGAUGAUAACUAGCUGUCCGGGUUCAUGGAACUUGGGUGGCGCAGCUAACGCAUUAAGUUAUCCGCCUGGGGAGUACGGUCGCAAGAUUAAAACUCAAAGGAAUUGACGGGGGCCUGCACAAGCGGUGGAGCAUGUGGUUUAAUUCGAAGCAACGCGCAGAACCUUACCAGCCUUUGACAUCCUAGGACGACUUCUGGAGACAGAUUUCUUCCCUUCGGGGACCUAGUGACAGGUGCUGCAUGGCUGUCGUCAGCUCGUGCCG
This 295-nucleotide ribosomal RNA is filed under the name uncultured bacterium. Its description in RNAcentral is "partial 16S ribosomal RNA". It matches the Rfam family "Bacterial small subunit ribosomal RNA", at positions 775 to 1067 of the family's 1533-position model. The record is from RNAcentral.